UACAGAGGGUGCAAGCGUUAAUCGGAAUUACUGGGCGUAAAGCGUGCGUUGACGGUUAUUUAAGUCGGGUGUGAAAGCCCCGGGCUCAACCUGGGAAUUGCAUUCGAGACUGAAUAGCUAGGGUGCGGAAGAGGGAAGCGGAAUUUCCGGUGUAGCGGUGAAAUGCGUAGAUAUCGGAAGGAACACCAGUGGCGAAAGCGGCUCACUGGCCGGAAUCUGACACUGAGGUGCGAAAGCUAGGGUAGCAAACAGG
Molecule: ribosomal RNA, 253 nt
Filed under: uncultured prokaryote
Description: partial 16S ribosomal RNA
Rfam family: Bacterial small subunit ribosomal RNA
Source: RNAcentral